UGUUACGUACGCUUAAUGGUAAAGUCGCCAUACCCCGAAAGGGCAAAUGGGUAUGUGGGUUCAACUCCCACCGUAACAC
This 79-nucleotide transfer RNA is filed under the name Bisgaardia hudsonensis. RNAcentral's name for it is "tRNA-His". It matches the Rfam family "tRNA". From Rfam's summary of the family: Transfer RNA (tRNA) molecules are approximately 80 nucleotides in length. Their secondary structure includes four short double-helical elements and three loops (D, anti-codon, and T loops). Further hydrogen bonds mediate the characteristic L-shaped molecular structure. tRNAs have two regions of fundamental functional importance: the anti-codon, which is responsible for specific mRNA codon recognition, and the 3' end, to which the tRNAs corresponding amino acid is attached (by aminoacyl-tRNA synthetases). tRNAs cope with the degeneracy of the genetic code in two manners: having more than one tRNA (with a specific anti-codon) for a particular amino acid; and 'wobble' base-pairing, i.e. permitting non-standard base-pairing at the 3rd anti-codon position. The record is from RNAcentral. Lineage: Bacteria; Pseudomonadati; Pseudomonadota; Gammaproteobacteria; Pasteurellales; Pasteurellaceae.